GGGGGCGCGCCGAUGUCCUCUCUGGUGCACUCAGCCAACCCCUGCUGUUGUAAGGUAAAGCCGCUGCUCUCCUGGUGUAUCGUUGGAAGGAACAGGCUUGCAUUCAGCGGAGAUCUCCCAAUUUGUUUUUUUUGUUUUGUUUUUUGUUUGUUGUUUUUUUUUUCUGCCUCUGAGAGAUUUUGCAUACAAUUUACGCAUGGAAUGGUUUCGGGGGGAUUGGAGUAGAAAUGCAGCGCCGCACUUCCAGCUAAUAACAAGAACCAUGCCCGGUUUACACUGCAAGCAAAUCUAUGACAUCCUGUUUUAUCCUUUACGACUUUGAUAUGAGUGAAUUUUUCUCGGCCGCCGACGACGAGGAGAGAAGAGAAUAAACGCAGCUUCAGGAGAGGAAGGACGCUGAUUUUUGCUGCAGACGCUUGUGCACCGAAAACCAUCUGCAUUUAGGAUUUUCUUUUUCUUUGAUGGAGCUGGAGAACAUUGUAGCCAACACUGUACUGCUGAAAGCGAGAGAGGGUGGAGGAGGAAAGAGGAAAGGACGGAGCAAAAAAUGGAAGGAGAUCCUUCGUUUUCCCCACAUAAGCCAGUGUACUGAACUGGGAAACAGCAUCGAGAAGGACUAUGUCAACAUCUGUGAGAAACAGCCUAUCGGACGGCUCCUUUUCCGUAUUUACUGUGAGACCAAACCUAAACUGCAACGAUGCAUCCAGCUACUGGACGCAAUGGAAGACUAUGAGGUGACGCCUGAUGAAAAAAGAAAAAGCAGAGGCGACCAGAUCCUCAAGAACUUUCUUUCGAAACAAUCGCCUCAGCGUGUGGACAUAGCUGAGGUUUUUGCAGACCAGUGCAGAGAGAAUCUGGAGCUCAGUCCAUGUAAGGAAAUCUUCAGCAACUGCCGCAAGGCUGUCCACGACUACCUGAGCGGAGCUCCGUUCGCAGACUACCAGAACAGCAUGUACUUCGACCGCUUUCUGCAGUGGAAGAUGCUGGAGUGGCAACCAAUCACUAAAGACACAUUUAGGCAGUACCGAGUCCUGGGAAAAGGAGGAUUCGGGGAGGUGUGCGCCUGUCAGGUCAGAGCCACAGGGAAGAUGUACGCCUGCAAGAAGCUGGAGAAGAAGAGAAUCAAGAAGAGGAAAGGAGAGUCCAUGGCUCUCAACGAGAAGCAGAUUUUAGAGAAAGUCAACAGUAGAUUUGUUGUGAGUUUAGCGUAUGCAUACGAGACCAAAGACGCUCUGUGUCUGGUGCUGACCAUCAUGAACGGCGGCGACUUGAAGUUCCACAUCUAUAACAUGGGCACUCCGGGGUUCGACAAAGACAGGGUCCAGUUCUACGCAGCACAAAUUGGAUGUGGACUUGAGCAUUUACACAGGGAAUCUAUAGUCUACAGGGAUUUGAAACCAGAGAAUAUCCUAUUAGAUGACAAUGGACACAUCCGUAUUUCUGACCUGGGGCUGGCCAUCAAAGUGCCUGACGGAGAGCUGAUCAGAGGCCGGGUUGGAACAGUCGGCUACAUGGCUCCGGAGGUGAUAAACAAUGAGAAAUACGGCAUGAGCCCAGAUUGGUGGGGGCUGGGCUGCCUGGUGUACGAGAUGACCGCGGGCCGAUCGCCCUUCCGCGCCCGCAAAGAGCGAGUGAAACGGGAGGAAGUGGAGAGGAGGGUGCAGGAGGAAGAGGAGGAGUACAACGACAAGUUUACAGAGGACGCCAAGGCCAUCUGUAGAAUGCUGCUCACCAAAGACCCGAAGCAAAGGCUGGGGUGCAAGGCGGAUGGAGCAGCAGGCAUCAAGGCCCACUCGUUUUUCAAAAACAUCAACUUCAAGAGGAUGGAGGCUGGAAUAGUGGACCCUCCCUUUGUGCCUGAUCCUCGGGCGGUGUACUGUAAGGAUGUUCUGGACAUUGAGCAGUUCUCCACAGUCAAGGGGGUAAAUUUGGACCAAACGGACAACGAUUUCUACUCCAAAUUCGCUACAGGCAGCGUUUCCAUCCCAUGGCAGAAUGAGGCAAAUGAUAGAAACUGAGUGUUUCAGAGAUUUGAAUGUGUUUGGGCCUCAAGGGACGAGACCCCCGGACCUGGACUGGAAUCAGCCGCCCGAGCCCCCUAGACGCAGCCUGCUGGACAGGAUCUUCAGGAGACACCACCCAGAGGUGUCUAUUUCCAACAGCCGUGUGCAGUCUUCCAGCGUAAACUCUGUGGACUCUAUGUCCAACUCUGCCCCCUAGUGGCACCGGGACUGUGCGGGAGCCACAUACACACAAAGGGAAGGAGUGCUGAGGGGCUUCCCCGCUGCUGAUUGGUCCACAGCUGGGGCCUGAGCAGCAGCCGGAGACAGUCUGUCUAAAAGCCUAAAUGGUCAGCCCGUGGGGAGGGAGGGGGGACGGCCAGACCCUGACACCCUGGGCAUUUGUAGUUGGAUGGUCAGUGUUGCAGAGAUGUUUGGAAAUAUUGAGACAAACUUUACUUACCCUCAGGAUUGUUGGACUAUAGAGCAGAGCCACUGAUGUUGAUGAAUACCGAAAAAGGAUAGUAACCAAGCUAAUAUUCAGGGGAUCCACUGUAUAAUAAAGACCACCACAGGGAAUAGAAGCUGGGGUCUUGGUGAAUUUACUUUUUUUGUUUGUUUGUUUUUCCAGAAAAAAAAUAAUUUUCUUUUUCAUUUUCAGUCUUUCUGGCCUGUAUCUUGUACCAGUAACUCUCCAUCUGUCUGCCCCCUCUCUCCAAGUGGUACCAUCUGCACAAAUCAUCUUAACUUAUUCUUUGUCCAUAUAUUUCACCUCCCAUACCUCAGAUCACUCCUAAACAUUCAGAAGACAUCACCUCAACAACCUCAACACAUAAUGUACAUUGCCUUGCGUACACUCAGGCCAAAGAUUACAGUUUAGUUUUGUGAUACUGUUGUCAUGUUGAGUUAUUGGAGGAUUUUUUUUUUUUUUUUUUUUUUAGGUUUUUAGCUGUCAUUUAGAACCACAGGAGGGUCAGAAUGUGUGAUCCGUUUUCUACAUUUUCUCUAAAUAUGAGCCUGCAAACAUAUCAUACCGCUUAAAGCCCACAUACAUACAGUACAUACAGAAUCAGAUAGACGCACAGACUCGGAGUUGUGAGAAUUGUGUCGUGUUUUCAUUGCAUGGACAAGUGUAAGUAUGGACAGCUGUAUCCCUUUUGCUUCUGCAUACCUCAUUCCACUGAUGUUACCAUCGUAUACACACAAACACACACGUCUCCCUCAGUUUACAGUCUCACUUUAUAUUUGAACAUUAUGUGGAAUUUUGAAAUCUAAUUAUAAGCUGUACAGAAAUCCUUUUUUUUUUUUUUUUUUUUUUUUUUUGGUUCAGUUUUCUGCAAAGUCCCACAGAGUGGAGAGGAACACAUGCACUCAGCCUGACUUACAAGUUGCACAAUUUAAAAUAAUGUCAUGCUGUUUUGUUACCAAAUGAAAAUGGUUUACCUCUGAUCAUUAAGGCACAUUAUUGUACUGAUAUUGUCACAUGCCGCUUGUUUUCUACAUCCAAAACUAAAGUGUUCUUGUUCUCCCUUUGCCUUUUUCCCUCUGAGAUAUUGCUGCCUCACCGUUGUUGUCUAAUGUACAGAUUGAUUUCUGUAGUUUGCCCCGUUACACUUACCCUUAACAUGCUCUUCAAAAUGCCUCACAAAUCUAAAGGGUCUUCCUCUUGUUUUGUGUCCAAGCAUAAUCAAAGACACGGGGUGUCGACAGCUAUGAAAGGUGUGAUUUCCUUUAACCAGUCCAGUGCAUCCAUGGGAGAGCAGAGCAUGAGGGGACGGACCCAGAGGACCCUGCAAGCACCACACAAAGAAGUGGCCUUCUCACAGCAGCACAGCCAAUCACAAGAGGAGAGCCCCGUCUCUUCUGAUUGUUCUAAGAAUGUGGUAUUAUCCCUAUACGAGAUAAUGAAAGCUGGUCCAUGCAGUAAUUCUGAUCAUUCCUACUGAUCUCACACGAGCCUGUUUUUUCUUAAUCUACAUACUUGACAUUAAAAAAAAAAAAAAAAAAUUGAAUCAGACUAAAGUGCCUCCUUGUUAGCAUGAUCUCCCA
This is an RNA transcript of Salarias fasciatus (jewelled blenny), 4049 nucleotides long. It is a transcript of the gene named G protein-coupled receptor kinase 5 like, with no coding region annotated. NCBI's taxonomy places the organism in Eukaryota, Metazoa, Chordata, Actinopteri, Blenniiformes, Blenniidae. The transcript has 16 exons. The record is from RefSeq and is a predicted model, not a curated record.